Long non-coding RNA from Bos taurus (domestic cattle), 1206 nucleotides. The record is from Ensembl. Lineage: Eukaryota; Metazoa; Chordata; Mammalia; Artiodactyla; Bovidae.
AAAUGUCCCUUAGCAACUUAAUUCAAAAUAGACCUCGACUGGAAACAACCCAAAUAUUCACCAAAUAGUGGAUGGAUAGAUAAACUGUGACGUAUCCAUACCAGGGAAUACUACUCAAGAACAAAAAGGCGUGAACCGCUCAUAUGGACGUGCACACAUCGAUGUGCACAGAUCUGCAGAGUGUUCUGCUGAGAGAAGAAGACAGGCCCCAGAGACUACACACCAGUCAUGUGGGAUCUUAGUUUCCGGACCAAGGAUGAAACCCACACCUCCUGCAUUGGAAGCAUGAGUCUUAACCACUGGACCACCGGAAAAGUCCCUGGGUUCUAGUUCUGACUCCGCCACUCAUUGUGUGACCUUUGAUGUGGACACAGAUGCACUGAGUCAAGAGACCUGCCCAAGGAAGGCAUCCAGAGCUGGAAUGUGAGCCCAGGUGGGGAUUCUGCCCUGGAGCAUCUGGACCUUACCCCAGGAGGCCCGUGAGUGAAGGGACGUGGCCAAGUCUCCUGGGUCAGGCCGAGACAGAUGGCUCAGUGGUAAAGACACCUGCCAAUGCAGGAGACGCAGGAGUUGCAAGUUUGAUCCCUGGAGAAGGAAAUGGGAGCUCGCUUCAGUACUCUUGCCUGGAAAAUCCCAUGGACAGAGAAGCCUGGUGGGCUGCAGUCCACAGGAUUGCAAGGAGUCGGACACUGAGUCACUGAGUAUGAGUGAUCUUACUGAACUGUAUCUUAUAAAUGGUUAAAAUGGUAAGUUUAUAUUAAAAGUACUUAACAAUCAAUUCUAUUAAGAAGUAAUUUUAUUCUCAAAUGAUGGGGAAGAAUGGGGGAGGGUCAGAAUCAUCAAGUGUGACUGAAUCCAUGGCUUUGUCUCUUGGAACAAUGAUGACCAACGAUGGUGUCAUCUCAAAAGCCAACAUUCCUUCCCACUCAACAAAAAAAUCCAAGAGCAGACGGUGUUUAUUCCAGUUCGGGUCAUAUGCUUAUCCAAUCCUUGAACCAGUCCUUGUGCCCAGGGAUGCGAUACUCCGGUUGGAUGGAGCUAAGUUUCAGGCACACUUGGAAGGAGGGCAGGGGACAUCUGGGCACCCCAACAGGGGCUUCCACAGUGGGCAAGGAGACUGGAUCCCAGGAGGACCUAAUAGCAGAGAAGACUGGAAGGGAAAAUCUGUGUUCUUGCUUCAGUCAGAGCAGCAGAGAGUAGGGAGAG